GUGAAAUCCCCGGGCUCAACCUGGGAACUGCAUUCGAAACUGGCAGGCUUGAGUCUUGUAGAGGGGGGUAGAAUUCCAGGUGUAGCGGUGAAAUGCGUAGAGAUCUGGAGGAAUACCGGUGGCGAAGGCGGCCCCCUGGACAAAGACUGACGCUCAGGUGCGAAAGCGUGGGGAGCAAACAGGAUUAGAUACCCUGGUAGUCCACGCCGUAAACGAUGUCUACUUGGAGGUUGUGCCCUUGAGGCGUGGCUUCCGGAGCUAACGCGUUAAGUAGACCGCCUGGGGAGUACGGCCGCAAGGUUAAAACUCAAAUGAAUUGACGGGGGCCCGCACAAGCGGUGGAGCAUGUGGUUUAAUUCGAUGCAACGCGAAGAACCUUAC
This 381-nucleotide ribosomal RNA is filed under the name Salmonella enterica. Its description in RNAcentral is "bacterial SSU rRNA". It matches the Rfam family "Bacterial small subunit ribosomal RNA", at positions 594 to 974 of the family's 1533-position model. Lineage: Bacteria; Pseudomonadati; Pseudomonadota; Gammaproteobacteria; Enterobacterales; Enterobacteriaceae. RNAcentral also lists the same sequence under 3 other names. The record is from RNAcentral.